ACCUGGCUGGCUCAGUCAGUAGAGCAUAUGAUUCUUGAUCUUGGAGAUGUGAGUUCAAGCCCCACAUCAGGGA
This 73-nucleotide transfer RNA is filed under the name Felis catus (domestic cat). It matches the Rfam family "tRNA". From Rfam's summary of the family: Transfer RNA (tRNA) molecules are approximately 80 nucleotides in length. Their secondary structure includes four short double-helical elements and three loops (D, anti-codon, and T loops). RNAcentral also lists the same sequence under 3 other names. The record is from Rfam by way of RNAcentral. Lineage: Eukaryota; Metazoa; Chordata; Mammalia; Carnivora; Felidae.